RNAcentral lists this long non-coding RNA (1672 nucleotides) under Olea europaea subsp. europaea. Lineage: Eukaryota; Viridiplantae; Streptophyta; Magnoliopsida; Lamiales; Oleaceae. The record is from RNAcentral.
CGAAAAUCAGCCUAUAACAGUUCUGUCAAGGGGAUGGACCAAGCGAGCACGGGAUAGGGGGAAAAAAUCAACAAAAAUUUGAAAUUUUCAAUACGAAACAAGGAAAAAUACAUGAUAUUAUUGUCCACGAGUUUAUGAAACUAUAAGAGUUCCCAGUAGGUCUUGUAUAUGACCUGUGGCAAUCACAAUCCGUUCGAGGCUUUUUAAUGACUAAAUCAGUGAAAAUGUUCUUCCAACCCACAUCACUUCAGUUGAAGAUCAGAAUUAUCGACCCGUCUUACCUAAGCUGACUGAACGGAAAAAUGAACAAAAAAUCAAGAAAAUGUUCUAUUUUGACUAAUCUUGUGAAAAGGAGAGUUUCUUGUCCCAUGUCUCUGGCUAUGCAUAAAAAUGUAUAACAACCUGUAGGACUUGAGAACAUGUUCGACUACAAUCUGGAGCUGAUGAUUCUUGAUCUGCCCAUUAAAAUAAAUCAGGUAUACUGCAAAAACAACACAUUCAAUCAAGAUAUAAUGCAAAUCAUCAAUCAUCAAAUGAUUCAUCAAACAUGAUUUAUCAAAAGAUAGCAUAACAAUGGAUAAAUAAAUACCCAUCUUAAGCUAGCAACCCUCAAAUGUAUCCCCUUUAUGGGGCCAAAGGCAUAAUGCACGAAAAGGUUACUUAAAACUAGCCCGCGGACCUGACUUUCACAUAAACUAUCAAUGCUUCAGCUAACAAUUAUGUGGAGAAGUUCUACCACAUGAAUACCAAACAAUUUAAAAUUAUCCCCAUAAACCAUGAAGUGCUGUUACUAGCUCAAAAAUUAGUUCUAAAAGUAAAUGAAAGGAAGUUCUAACACAUGAAUACCAAACAAUUUAAAAUUAUCCCCAUAAACCAUGAAGUGCUGUUACUAGCUCAAAAAUUAGUUCUAAAAAGUAAAUGAAAGGAAGUUCUUCCACACCUCUGGGUUUCAUACGAGUACUCAGCAUGCAGGAGGAAACAGGAUGCCCUUAUAGGUAAAAGGCAAUUGAGAGUAGGGCCCAAGAGCUUAAUUGAACAAAUCGGUAUAACGCAUAAGAUCAAACUUUUGUCCUCAUAAAUUCAUCCGCAACUCUGUAAUAUAUUAAUCAUCAUCCCCUCCAAAAUAGGUAAAUAAAUAAAAACACUUCUGCUAAUCUUUCUCCCGAAUUGGGUGUCUUCAACACUAUUUUAACCACUCACAUCAAAUCAACCUCAAAUUCAAAACAACUAACACAACCACUGCACAAAUGGAUCUCAUACCCGAAUAUCAAAUAUAAUAAAGCUCUAUCAGCUUCAGUUCACCAUUGUAUCCCUAUACUCCCAAAAGCCUUGUCUGCACUUUUCAAUGUAUAAUGAAUAGCAAGUGGAAGAGUGAAUGUGCGAAUCUAUGCCUUUGAUUGGGAAGUACUUUUAAACACUCUUGGUUCAAUUACUUUUACAUCCGCACAUUUCCUAUGACCCACAAGUACUAUCCACUUUUACAUCACUCAUUUCUAUAUAAACACUUCCCGAACAUACUCUAACCAAAUGAAACGGUACCCACGACCCACAAUUACAAUGUGGUAUAUUUAGAUAUUCUUGGUUCAACUACUUCUACAACCACACAUUUCCUAUGACCCACAAGUACUACCCACUUUUACAUCACUCAUUUCUAUAUAAACACUUCCCUAAC